RNAcentral lists this ribosomal RNA (450 nucleotides) under uncultured bacterium. RNAcentral describes it as "partial 16S ribosomal RNA". It matches the Rfam family "Bacterial small subunit ribosomal RNA", at positions 354 to 796 of the family's 1533-position model. The record is from RNAcentral.
GUGGGGAAUAUUGGACAAUGGGCGAAAGCCUGAUCCAGCCAUGCCGCGUGUGUGAAGAAGGUCUUCGGAUUGUAAAGCACUUUAAGUUGGGAGGAAGGGCAGUAAGUUAAUACCUUGCUGUUUUGACGUUACCGACAGAAUAAGCACCGGCUAACUUCGUGCCAGCAGCCGCGGUAAUACGAAGGGUGCAAGCGUUCAUCGGAAUUACUGGGCGUAAAGCGCGCGUAGGUGGUUUUGUAAGUUGGAGGUGAAAUCCCCGGGCUCAACCUGGGAACUGCAUCCAAAACUGAAUGACUAGAGUACGGUAGAUGGUAGUGGAAUUUCCUGUGUAGCGGUGAAAUGCGUAGAUAUAGGAAGGAACACCAGUGGCGAAGGCGACUACCUGGACUGAUACUGACACUGAGGUGCGAAAGCGUGGGGAGCAAACAGGAUUAGAUACCCCAGUAGUCC